AGAGCGAACGCUGGCGGCAGGCCUAACACAUGCAAGUCGAGCGCCCCGCAAGGGGAGCGGCAGACGGGAGAGUAACACGUGGGAACGUACCCUUCAGUUCGGAACAACCCAGGGAAACUUGGGCUAAUACCGAAUACGUCCGUAAGGAGAAAGAUUUAUCGCUGAAGGAUCGGCCCGCGUCUGAUUAGCUUGUUGGUGAGGUAACGGCUCACCAAGGCGACGAUCAGUAGCUGGUCUGAGAGGAUGAUCAGCCUCACUGGGACUGAGACACGGCCCAGACUCCUACGGGAGGCAGCAGUGGGGAAUAUUGGACAAUGGGCGCAAGCCUGAUCCAGCCAUGCCGCGUGGGUGAUGAAGGCCCUAGGGUUGUAAAGCCCUUUCGGCGGGGAAGAUAAUGACGGUACCCGCAGAAGAAGCCCGGCUAACUUCGCGCCAGCAGCCGC
RNAcentral lists this ribosomal RNA (443 nucleotides) under uncultured bacterium. RNAcentral's name for it is "SSU rRNA". It matches the Rfam family "Bacterial small subunit ribosomal RNA", at positions 26 to 518 of the family's 1533-position model. The record is from RNAcentral.